Molecule: long non-coding RNA, 24954 nt
Filed under: Sorghum bicolor (sorghum)
Lineage: Eukaryota; Viridiplantae; Streptophyta; Magnoliopsida; Poales; Poaceae
Description: long non-coding RNA (SBIC_LNC000285)
Source: RNAcentral
GUUCUGCUCAGGUGGGCAACUCUAGCUUCAUCCAUCUGUAUCUUUUUCUUGAUGAAAUGGCAUGCAGCUCUUUUGCGUCAUUCGAGAAAAAAUAACCAGGGAAGCACACUGAUUGAGUUCCUGGUUCCUGCCAAAUAAAAUCUCACCUGUUUUCUUUUAAAAAUGGAUUAAACUUGUAUAUUACUAGAAUUCAAGUACAAAUGAGAUGGUACAACAUGGACUAGAUUAGACUAGUUUGAGUAUGUGUUGAGUCUAGUUUAUAGGGUGAUAGUUGUACUUUCUAAAAUUUCUAUAAUUAGUAAAUAGUGCAGUGACUAUAUUUUUAAUCAAUAGAUGACCGUUGACACUAUUCCAAGAAUUGCAUAUCAUCUGUUAUUGUUCAUGAAGGAUCUAAUUCUAGUUUGAAUUUGCUAGAAACUUAUUGAUUGCUUUCUGUAUAAUUUAGUUUACAAAUUGAAUUUAGUAUCUGAUAUUGUAAUACAAUACACAUUUGUAUGUUAUUUUUUGCAUUUUUUUUACAAAAUCCAGUACUCAAGUACAUUGAUUUGCUAUGUCUUUUAGUUACUACAUUUGUAUAUGUUUAACCAAUAUACAAUUGAGAUUCCUAUAUAGAUAAGAUUUAGUUUUUCUUUUUCAUAACUCUUGACAUUUCUGGAGAUCUACUUCUGAAUCUUGUGCAUCAUAUACACUUCUUUCCUCAGUGAACCAUAUGUUACUGAAGAUGAACUGAAGUUAAUGUUACGAGGAGCAGAGUUGAGUGGUGCAAUUGCAGAAGAUGAACAGGUUAGACAAUCUAGUAUAUGGAGAUGCCCAUAUAUUGUGCUGCAUAUUUCCUUCUUUAUUCUUUAUGUUUCUGUGUACCUCACAGCAAGAUUUUGUUAUCCAGUGCAAUCUAGGCAAAGCCUUUACUUACAAUUUUUAUAUCAUAUAGAAAGCUGACUACUUACAUAAAUAAAGAGUGAAUUAAUGAAAUUUCAGGAAAAUAGUAACUAACGUUUUUGCAUGAUUUUAACUGCUAAUUUAAUGUUUGUACACCAUCUCAUCACAUAUAUCCAGAAUUUGAAAAGCAGUAUGGCCCCAAAGGUUUGAGUUAGAUUAUACUGUUGCAGACUAGGAUUUUGCCUCUUGAUAGUUUACUAGCACACUUUGGCUACUUCUUUGUUUUCUUGAAAACGCAGGAGAGCUGCACUUCAUUAUAUUAAGAGGAUAAAGGGCAAGAGCCCGAACAACCCCACAAACACCAUACACACACCACACACAUCACACACUCACGCCCCAACAGAAAUGUUACAUUCGCGCCCGUAAGAAAACACACAACGCGACCACUACUAGGCUAAACAUUUCUAACUAUCGGGGAGGAGGGCAGUCAAGAAUGAUAGCUCUCGAGCUGCUGCCAUAGACCAUAAACGGCGCUCCUCGCCUGCUAUGAUCAGAGCGCCAGCAAGGUUUGGAGCUGCUCCAUCAAAGACACACCCAUUGCGAUGGUUCCAUAUAGUCCAAGCUCCGAGCAUAACAAGAGAAUUAAUUCCUUGCCUUGUCAGCCCAUCAGCAGUGCUGCUAGCCUUCUCCCACCAAGCAUGGAAGGAUAAUUCUGUAAGCUGAGGGGACAAAAGCCUGAUUGAACCAAAAUUCUCUUGUGAACACACAAUGGACAAGUAGAUGGUCGAUAGUCUCCUUUUCAUGGUCACAAAGGAGGCAAUUCUCCGGAUGAGGUAACCCUCGGCGUGCUAGACGAUCAGCUGUCCAGCACUUAUUGUGCGACCAGCCACAUAAAGAAACGGCAUUUGGGCAGCACCCAUGAUUUCCAAAUCUUUUCCCAUGGUCCAAAAAGAGUAGAUCCGAAAAAGAAGCCUUCAUAUGCCGAUUUAGCCAAGUAUUGUCCAUUAGAGGAGAGCCUCCAUAGGUGCUGCAGCUGAAAAUCCAGAAGUAGAUCCCACCAUAAGUGAAAGUAGUCAACAAACCCACCAACUGUGAGCGCUCCUUGUAUGUCCAAAAUCCAAGCCCGGUUAGUAAGGGCAUCCUGGACAGUAUGCUGCUUAACCCUCCUUUUAGGAGUAGCCACAAAAAGUCGAGGGGCAAGAUCUGCAAUGCAUUGCCCAUUGAUCCGAUCUGUCCAGAAAAGAGUGUUUGCACCAUCCAAUUUCAGAAGUUACUGCCACUGAGUAGAAGGCUCUUACUUGCUUCGGCACAUGGAAUGGUAGAGCAGCCCAAGGACAAUGAGGUUCUGUUUUCUGCAGCCAAACCCAUCUCGUGCGCAAGGACCAGCCAAGGGUUUUUAAAUCUGAAAUUCCCAGGCCUCCAAGCUCUGGUGGGCCACAGACUUUGACCCAAGCCACAAGACAAUGACCACCUUUUUGCAUAUUUUCGACCCCUCCAAAGAAAGCCACGCCAAAUUUUAUUUACCACUUUGAUAGCCAUGGAGGAAAGUCGAAAGCAAUAGCUAAGUAAAUGAGCAUUCUCAGUGAGAACUGAUUGUACUUGAACCCUUCUUCCAGCCCUUGUCAUUAGGUCUGCCUUCCAGCCAGGAAGUUGAUCUGCAGUACGAUCAAUAAUAGGCUGCACUUGUUUCUUUAGGGAGAGGGGCAGACCUAAGUAUUUGCAUGGGAAAUCCGAGAGGGGCACACCUAGCUAGUUUCUUUGGCUACUGUUAUCCUUUAGGUAUUUUGCAGAACCUUUCCAUAGCAAUCCCAUUAAUCUUUAGGAAGCGAUCCCAUUUGUUAAAGCCCCUGCAGGCAACUUUCAAGUUCAUUAUUCUCGAUCACAGGUAGUCAUUCUGCAUAUUUUUCCCUCAGAAUCAUCAUAAGAAUUGGGUUAAGUGGAUAGGUCAGACUAUAGCAUGGAAAUACAUAAGUACUGAUAGGUUGUUGAAACUAUCUAAGACUACAGAUUUAUCGUGUCAAUUUGUCACAAAUAACAGAUUUUAGCUGAUGAAAUCAGUACUUCUGCAGUACAUAGAAAUACUAAAUGUGUAGUUUUAGUUUUGCAAAAACAAGGACACUAAAUUUAUAAUUCUGUGAUAAAACUUCUUAAAUCUGUAGUUUUGUGAUAGCAUAGCCCACUCACACAUAUACAAAAAAAAAGAAAAAGAAAAAAAGGAACCAUAUAGUUAUUUAUGUGCUUAGAUUCUAGGCCCUAGAACUAGAACCUAUAGCUGUGUUACACUAUUAUGAAUUCCUAGUCCGUGCCUGCUUGUGCAGGACACUUUUCUACUUGAUCAGCUAAAGUCAGCACCUGAGUCUUUUAACAGGAUAUGAUCGAGAAUGUCCUGGAAAUUAAAGAUACACAGGUGAGGGAAGUAAUGACGCCUUUGGUGGACGUAGUUGCAAUUGAUGCUAUUGCAACACUUAUUGAUUUCAAAAACUUGUGGGAAACUCAUCAGUACUCUAGGUAUUGUCAACUAUUAUUGUCGCGUGUAUUUUCAAGUCUUAUCACUGACAUCUGCUGCUAUUUGUUAUUUCCAGAGUUCCUGUAUUUGAGGAGCGCAUAGAUAAUAUUGUUGGAAUUGCAUAUGCAAUGGACAUGCUUGAAUAUGUUGAAGAGGUAUGUCUCUUGUUUACCAUUUAAUGUAAAACUUAAUCACAGUGAGUCUUAUUUGCUCCACAUGAUGCUUCUCUAAAGGGAAAGUAAAAGGUGUAUUUUUCUUUUGAAGGUUGAGAAGCUGAAUGAAAUCACUGUUAAGAAAAUCGCACAUAUGCCUACAUACUUUGUUCCAGGUAAUUUUUAGUAACAUUGUUGGAUACAAGUAUCAUGAUGAACUAAAAGAAGGCAUCUGUCAGUAGUUAUAGGGUUGGAUGUUUUUCCACAACAAUUAAUCAUUUCUGCCACAUGUUUUCUCCCAUCUAUGCAUCAUGGAUGUAACAUAUGAUACUGUUUCAUCUGGCAGAUUCAAUGUCUGUUUGGAACCUAUUAAGAGAGUUCCGGAUCAGGCAGGUUCAUAUGGCAGUGGUCCUUAAUGAAUAUGGUGGAACUAUUGGUGUAUGUCCCUAUGAAACCCAUUUUUUAUACUUUACAAACUGGACACAGUUUAGUACUUGUUAAUAUUCUUGUUAUGCUUUCAUCCAAGGCUAGUUGCUCAAUUGAGACCAUUUUGACUUAUGGCACACAACGAGGUUCAACAUUGUUUACUCCAAUCAAUUUUUAGUUGUAACUUCCAAGCAUGCUAGUUAGUUUGCUAAUAAUUGAUGAAUGCUAGUCAGUACAUGGUGACAUUUUGAUGGCCAUUUAUUGGCAACACUACUGGCUUUUGUUCCACAAUGGUCGUGUUUUUAGCACAAGCAUGUGGUGCGAUGCUUCAAGUGAUCUUGCUGCACAGCUUAUGUAACUGCAGCAAUGGGGCACUUUUCAUCUGUUGCAGUAGCAGUCCCUGUUGUUCAUGGUUUGUUUCCUUUUAAGAUAUACCCCACACAUAGAGAUUAGUUAUGCUCCAUGCAGCAGAGAUUAUUACUUUCCACAAGUUUAGAGAUUGUUUCUUAGGAAGUAGUUAUGCUCACAGUUUGUUCAUCAGUUUCUGUUUUCAGAAGUAGUUGAUGAGCGAUGAACAUGUUUUGAUUAUGUUUGCUGCUGAAAGGAUAAUUCUUUAAGAUGUUUUUCUCAUUACUGAUGCUCAUUGGUAAAAGUUGCAAAUGAUUGGACAAAGCUACUACCCGUGAGCUUCCUUUGUCUCACAUACCCUUCGAGCAAUUACGCUUUAAUGUAGCAAUAUCUAUCCAUUACUUGCAGCAACUAAGUCCUAUUGUAUUCAGAAAUGUUUAUUAGAACAGUUUGUAAUUUCAUAUGUUUAUCACUGCAUGGGACAUUGGGAAUUACUCUGACCUUUGGCCAAAAAAAAAUGCAGAUUGUAACACUAGAAGAUGUAGUGGAAGAAAUAGUUGGUGAAAUAUUUGACGAGAAUGAUUCCAAGGUGAUUAUUUCUGGAAUUUUUUAUUUCAAAUCGCAAGUGGGUGUUCAGUGCCAUACAUAUGCAUGCUAUUAUUUUCUAUUUCUUUUUCAAAAUUAUUUCCCCCUUUCUUUUGGUUUAUUAUUCCCUUUUUGCCUUGUAACUAUCGUUCUUAUAUUACAUAACUGACUUUUCAUAUGUUGGUAAUAAAUAAUGAUAUGCUAGCAUUUGAACUUACGAAAUUUAGUGGGCCAAACAUACUGAGCCAUGCCAAAAAAGACAGGCAAAUCAUACAGUCAUAUUUUAGCAGCAGCAGUGCAUUAGCGCGGUGGGUACUGAGCCGGAGUUUGCAUGUGCCUGAAGGUGGCUGAAUGAAUAAGGUGGAUAUUACCCUACCCGCACCCAAAUCAAAAUGUGUAUUUUAUUUCUACCCAUACCCUCCCCAAUUAAUGCGGGUGUGGAUUUGAAUAUGGGGAUUGAAUAUCCAGCGGCAGGUAUAAAGAUUAGAUCUCCUGCCUCAGUGCUUCUCCAAGAUCUGGAAGCAGCUGCUUCACUCCUAUUUUCUGUAUCCUAGUCAAAACAAAGGAUUUUUCCAUGUAGCAAGCUAGUUGCUCUUUGUCAUUUGCUUAGGCAGUCUCUCAAUUCCUUCUGCUACUCUGUUUUUCACCCUUUCAGGAGGAAAUCCAGAAGAAAACAGGCUAUAUAGUGAGGCGGGGAGAUGGAACAUUUGAUGUUGAUGCAAAUACAUCAAUAGAUCACCUCUCUGAAGAGCUUGGUAUCAAAAUACCAGAGGUAUUGUUUCUCAUUUGAUCUUAGCUUUCUCUACAGUUGCUAUGCAUUCCCUUGGACAUGUGUAUAUUUAAGGAAGGUAUGGCUCGGAAAAUAGUAGAUUGAUUAUGAGUAGUACAAAAGGGUAGGCAAGGAUGAUCUGGGAUUUAUAGAACAAUACCCAAUCAGGGAGAUCCUUGCCUAAUAGCUAAUCAACUACAUAAAACCCAUGGAGGCAGGCUUAGGUGCCAGGGCCCAUGCGGCCAGCCCAAUAGCCCUCUGGAAACUCCAUUCUAACAUAUAUGUUGGAGUGGACACUGUAUGAUGAUCAUCGAAAUGUGAGUUCCAUCAUUUAGAGAUGCCUGGUUUGCAGAACCUAUACAGAUAUAACGUUAUUAUAUCUAUUUUUUGGUGGAAACUGGACAUUUAAUAUUUAGGUCAACAAAAUAUUCACAAAUGUUCUGUUUGUAAAAUAUGCCCUUGGUAGUCAUCAUUUAUAUGGUGCUCUGUAUUUCUGUCAUGUUUCUCGUAGAUUGGCUGAUAAUCUUGAGACACUUGGACACUAUCUUUUGGCAGGGGCAUCAGUAUGAGACGGUGUCUGGUUUUGUCUGUGCAUCUUUUGGCUAUAUUCCAGAAGAAGGUGGGAAAAUGCUUGUGAUUCUUGAAAAGGAUUACAGAGAAGAAAACGGUGAAUAUCAGGAGGAAGGUUCUGAUCGCCAAGAUGAUAGAGAAAAAACUCAAGCUUACGAACUUGAGGUAAUUGUUACAACUCCUUGUGUACUCUGUUUGCUCAAGAGUUCUAGUACCAGGUCAAUUAUUAUAAUGCGAUUAUCUUGUCAUCGCUAGAAAUCUUUACUAGUAUAUAUAACUAUUAUGAAUUUUCCUUCAUUACUUGAAAGCUGAAAGACACCACAAAAGCUUCAAUUUUCUUUGUUGAUGCAAUACCAUGAAACCUUUUUUGUUAAAUAACUCUCAUUAGAACCAAUUUUCCAUACAGGGCAUUUGGUUCUUAGAUCAUUUUAUAGGAUAUUUCGUACUAUAAGUAAGAACCAACUACUAUCCACAAUUACCUCUACAUGCUUGUUUGUGCAUAUAAAAAGACAACAAUACUCAGAAGGUUGCUGUAACAUGUCCACACUCCGCUUUUGUGGUGCUAAUACUACCGAACAUUUGUAAUUGCUUUUUUUAUUUGAAGCUAAAAAAAGAAAGUAUACAAAAACUAAUAGAUAAGAAAACCAACUACUCAAUUGUCAAUUCAGAAUUCAUACUGUGGGUUAUAAGGUUAUUUCAGUGAAAUUGUUUUGGUAUUGGUACACAACCUUUAUUAGUUGGUGCAACUCCCAUUUCCGGAAGUCUUCGUACACUUUAAUUGAAUUGCUGCAGCCCUAGGAAUCCAUAGUUUCUGUUUCACAAUUCACCCAAAGUUUCAUUCUUUGUUGCAGAAUUAAAUAACCUUCUGUAGUUGUUUUCACUACCUUUAUUACCUGGCUUCUCUUGCUCACAGAUAGUGGAAGCUAAUGCAAGGAAGGUGGGCAAAGUCCUAUUUAAGCCAAUAAGCAGUGAAUGUGUUGGUGUUGACAACAAGGGUGUGAACCGCCUGGUCUCCAAGAAGAUCAUCAAACGGAAGAAGCAGGGCUAUGAUGAUUCCUCCGGUGACGAGUAUCCAGAUACAACAGAGAAUGGCUGCCCUGCUGAGGCACUCUCCUACUCGGAUGGUAACAGUGCCUUGUUGGAAGAUGCAAGCAGUUCUAGUGCCAAGAGGUGACAAUAAAGGAACUCCAAGACCAUCGUACUACUGGUAAUAAUUACAGCACACCGUCACCGGUCCUAAUACCCCUUGUUACAACAGAAGAAGAUGAGAAGAACAUAGUAGUAGGCUACCCAAAAAAAAAAACUGCGAGAGCAACACCAAGAGGUUAACAGCAGUUUAAGGCAUUGCAACAUUUUUCAGUAGCAGGAGUAGCAGUAGUAGCAGUCUAGAGGUGCAGCGAGGUGUCGACGUCGACUUCACCAGAGACAUGUUUGUAGUUGUAGGUCUUACUGGGCCACAGCUCCACCGCAAUGGGGUCGCUAUCGCCGUGGAGCUGGAAGCUUUUGCAUUCACAGACAGUGGUUGGCACGGCCGGGAAUAAGGAGGCUGCGGCGGCAACAGCGGCAGUGGUUUCCCGCAGCGGCCUGCACGGGUAGAGCAGCUCCGGGUGGAAGAACCACUUGACGGGCAUCUCCCUCGGGGAGGCGGUGGCCGCAGGGCGGGGGGCGAGCACGUGGAGAAGCCUCUCCUCCCGCUUCUCCCUGAUCCUCUCCAGCUCCCUGAACCUCUGCUGCAGCAGGGCGAUGGAGGAGAACAUCACCUGGCCUUCGCUGCUCUGCACCCCCAUGAUGACUGGGCGAGAGGGGGAGCUCUCACUCCAGCUCCGAGUUUCAGUUACGUGUUCGUGUCGUGUGUAUCUCACUCAAGCGUCUGUCUACUUCGCUCGGUGUGUGUGGGGGUUUUGCUUGCUGCUUGAAGGGGUGGUGGUCUUGGGCAUGUGCGUAUUUAUAAGCCGCAAAGUUUUGUCACGGCGCAGGGCGUCGUCUUGUGGUCGUCUUGCAAGUUGCGCCAAUUCUUUCAUCUUCAUCUUCCAUUAUGUGAUGCUAUGCCUGUUUGUGUGUUUUGUUUAUGGGCUGAUUGAAAAACAAAAGAGGCACUAUUGGUAUGAGAGAGAAUCUGGGAGGAGAAUGUCACGUCGCCCGAGAAAGGAAGUGGGAGGCGUGCAGGUGAGAGAAUAAGGGGCGUGGCGUGGGAGAGUCCAAGGAAAUGGGGCUGUGGACGCUUGCGCUUGUUCCGUUCCUGGCGGUGGGAAUCGCCGUGUGCCGUUGUGAUGUGCGGGGUGGCCAUGAUUGCGCCUCUGUUUGUCUGUCACCUUUUUCCCUUGCGCAUUGCUGCAGCAGCAGGGCAGGGGAGAGGUCUGCAUGCCCUGCCAUGCCCUGCCCUGCUGCUCGUACUAGCUCGCUACUACUCCCUUCCCCCUCUCCAUCCAAACGGGCACUGCGAGCUUUUCCUGGUCUAUAAUGGCGUCGUUGGAGCUGUAGUACGUGCUGUUCGUAGCAACUGUGGGCAGCGCUUUCAGGUGUGGAACUGUGCACUCCAUGAGCCAUUGUCUUCGUUUGCGUGUGUGAACGUGUUGGAGAGUCUGGGAGCAGAAAGUCUGCGUUGAACGUUACUUCUUUGGGUCUUUGACUGGUGCGUCCAUAGAUCUGUGAAUGGGAGCGCUGAUUGCACGCUGCGUAGUACAGUGCGUUCGAGUAACGCUGAGACGGCGUGCUGCUUUGAAGUUUCAACUUUUGGUUAAUUCAGGAAAGUUGAUUGAUCUUAUGUUUUUUGACGGCCAGGUAAACACGGCCAAUUGCACCGGCGUCAAAAAGACCUCUGUCAUCCGAUGCUUUGGACAGUAAUUGAGAUAUUCGUAACAAAUGCUUCACUACCCGAAGAGAAAACUAGUUUUCGUUGGUUUCCGCAUUUUGUGAAAAUAAGAAAGGGCAUGUUUGAGUCAGAGUCGGGUUAUUAUAAUUGGAUUAUCGACUCUAAUAAUUAGAGUGCUAGAUUUUUUGUGGUGGAACCUAUCCAUUUCUUGCCUAGCCAGCCAACUAUCAUGAUGCUACAUGGUAUUUAAGUAACGACCAUUUUCUCAAAUGGUCAAGGAUUAUAUUCUUCUUUGAUUUUUUUUUCCCUUCAAGUGGCCUAGGGUUUUGUAGUCUAAUGUGAACAAUAUCAGGUGAAAACAAAAUAGCAUCAAAGAAUAGAUAGCCAAAAUGCCUAACGAAAAGGAAAAUUGUGGGUUACAUGUCUCAUGAAUUAUUUGAUGAAGUAGAAUAAGAUACGUUCGGUUAUUUGAGAGAAAAAAAAACUGCACAACAUAAAAAAAUAACUGUUUGCCUAGUUGGCUAAGAAAAAAUAUAGUGGGCUCCAUGGCUCCUAAGACUCUUUAAAUAUCAUGUAAAUGGAUAUAAAAGAAGUCAAUAAAUCAUUCUGCUGAUAUUGACUGAAUUAUUUGCUAUCAACAAUUAUCCAAAAAAGAUUUCUUUAAGAAUAAUAUUUCUACCAUGUAAAACAAGAAGAAAAAGACAAAUUAAUCGGAACUUUUGUUUGUGGCUGGAACUAUUGUAAAUGUCAUUGUUGAGUUGAGAUAUUUUUUUUUUGAAGUUCCCUUUUUGCGAGGAAUGAGUAAUCUGAACGUUAUUUGUUUGUGGUUGUUGAUUCCCUGGAGCUGUUAUAGAAGUCAUUAUUGAGUAGAGAUUUUUUGAAGUUCCUUUUUGCAACGAAUGAGUAAAUAGUUGCAUAGAUGUUUGAUGGUAUUAGCAUACUCUGCUUCUAAAAUAAUGAAAGGGAUUUUCCGUUACUAUUUAGUUGUGGACUGAGGCCUGAAGAAGUAUGUUUUGAAACUCGGAAUUUCAUGGAGGAUUUGUAGGAAUCCCAUAUAUAAUAAACAUGUCAAAAUUAAUCCUCCUAUAUUUUCUUGGUCAUUUUCUAGAGCUAGGCUCAUUUAUCUUUAAUUUGUCUAGUGAAGAGUAUAUGUAUAUCCUUUGCUCCAAACAUGUAGUGGUGAGUGGAGUUUACUAAUAUUAUUAUGUGUAGUUAACCUAGAACUAGAAGCUUGGUAACUGAGCCUUAUCUAAUCUGGCCCUAAACUAACUUAUCAUCCAAACUGAUCAGUUGGAGUCUUGUGACGAUGAUAUCUCUGGUUUGUUGUGGAACGGGACUAGUACUGCCGGACAUAUUAUACAUUGGAUGCAUGCGACAUAUAUACAGUGUUGAACUUGUUUAUAUUAAUUUAUCCUGGAUAGCCAAUAGUAGCCCAUAACAUUAACAUGCAACAUAGUAUAUGCAUUUGCAUGUACUGCUAGUUCCCUGCUACGUACGAUCCUGACAGUAGGCACCUAAUCUUUCCAUGCCCCAAUAUUUUACCGCCGCUGUCGCUUCCAUUCUAGAGAGAGAACAAUAUGACCAUCUUGUAAAACAUUCUAGAGAAGAGAUGCAUGGAGAGUAUGGCAAUAAUUUAAGCAGAUUGAUGGGAGCGAGAUAUUUUUAAAGGCAGAUCAUCGAUUGAUGCAUGGGAGCGAGAGAGCUUAGCAGAGAAAAUAAAGAAGAUUGGUGAUUGGUGAUAGGCCGGGGCAGCCGUGGUGCAGCAGCAGCUAGAACUAGAGAAGCUAAAAGGAAGGCUGAUGGCAGGGCAGGGCAGUAGUUUAAGGACGGGUCCAUGCCUGCAGCUAGCUAGCAUCUAUCGACGUUCCUCCGUUGUCGCGGAGCCGGUGGACGCGAAUGGCAUGCGUGGGUGCACUACCCUGCUGAUGCACACAGCAUGCAUUGCUGCCUGCAUGCGACAUGGUAUACAGCUCCCGGCCGGCGUCUCUCCUCUCCUCUCUUCUCUUCUCUUGUCCAUCCAUCGGCAGCAUACGGUCGGUCACUCGCAGCAUGCAUGCUCCUCUGAUCGAGCUCUGCUGGUGUCGUGUCGUGUCGUCGAUGGAUCGGGGCCGGGUUGGGUGUUGCUGCAUUGCAUGCUCCCUAAAGCGCCGCCCUUGUUGCCAAAGUGAAUGCUGCCGACGACGACCGCCGCGCCGCCCGUCUUCUUUUUCGGCGGAGGGGGGCGGCCGGGCACGGGCACGGGCACGGCACAGUCUUCCGGGCAGGGGCAGGGGCAGCCGGGCAAGCCAACACCUGCUAGCGGACGAGAAAUUGAAUCGAAUGGGAAACAAAGAAAAAAUUGAUGGCUGAUGGCUCCAUCUUUCUUUCUGUCUGUCUGUCUGUCGGUCAGUCAUUUUACUAAUUUAUUUGACUGCGCUACGGAGACGACAGUGUAACAUUUUUAUUUGUAUUUAAUAAUUAUUAUUUAACUAUAGACUAAUUAGGCUCAAAAGAUUCGUCGCGUAAACUAUAGACAAACUGUGCAAUUAGUUUUUAUUUUCGUCUAUAUUUAGUACUUUAUACAUGUGCCACAAGAUUUGAUAUGACGGGAAAUUUUAAAAAGUUUUUGAAUUUCGAAGUGAACUGGUCAAAUAUGCAAUGCUUGUACGUGCGCACUAGUUUAUGCCAAUGAUUCAUUUUUCGCGGAUCCUCCGAAUUUCACACCAUACAGUCAGAAUAUAAUUGCUCCAAGACACGUCAAUUUUGAUGCGUCAAUUUGUGCAUGUGGUUCCUGGCACUACUGGAUCCGGCUUCUUUGCCGAGAGCCGCGAGCCCUCGGCAAAUGCCUAAAAGCCCUCGGCAAAGGCUUUGCCGAGGGCCAUAAACGCCCUCGGCAAAGCCUACGGCGCCGUCGAAAAACGUCAAUAUUGACGUCGUCUUUGCCGAGAGCCAUGCUGGCAGGCUCUCGGCAAAGAUUCUUUAUUUUUUUUAAAAAAAGCCUUUGCCGAGAGCCCUGCAGGAAGGCUCUCGGCAAAGAACCCCUUUGCCGAGAGCCAGACAUCCAGGCUCUCGGCAAAGAACCCCUUUGCCGAGAGCCAGACAUCCAGGCUCUCGGCAAAGCUGUAGUUCUUCUGAACCCGGCUUUCUAUCUUUGCCGAGUGCCAGCCAUCCAUGCUCUCGGCAAAGCUGAGAAUUUAGUUUUUUUUUCUGUUUUUUAUCUGUUUUUUACAUGCACAGCCACAUAUGUAUAUAUAUAUAUCACAAAUCCCUUUGUCUAUAUCACAAUCCACAUAUAUAUCACGCAUGAAACAUAUCGAAGUCCACAGAUAUCACAAAUCCACAUAGAUAUGACAAAUAUAACAUUACGUCCAACAUAAACCAUAAGUCACCACAAGUUCAUAACAUAAACCACAAGUCCACGUGAAUAUCACUCCUCGAAGUCGCUAGCGCCUCACCCCUAGUGCUGUGACUCUGACCUGUCGUCGCCGUGGCCUCCGUCGUGUCCCGAGCCUCCAUCUGGCCAAGCCGACCAGGGUGAGUGCCCCCCAGGGUGUGUAGAGCUCGCACCUGCCCACGGCGCCCACAUGGCCUGCCCUGGCACCGACGGGUACGGGUACGAGUACCCGGGGCGCGGAGGAGGGCUGCCGGACAACCCGGGGUGGCCGUGCUGCGGAUGGGCACCAGGCCACGUGUGCUGCGUACUUGGGUGGCCAUAAGUAGUAACCUGCCACCCACUCCUUGGAGAAGGGGUCGGGUUCGAACCCCACGACUGAUGCUACAUAAUAUAAAAGCGAACUCAUUAGUAUCUGCAGGACGGCCACACAAGCCAAAGCAAUAGACAAACAUAUAUACACUCACCGGACUGCCUGCAGGGGCAGGAACAGGGGGUGGAACAGGGGGUGGAGCGAAGAGCGAGGCAGGCAGCGGAGGCGCUGUAGAGCUGUGGAUGGACUGGAAGUAUCCGACUAGGUCCGAGAUCUGACGCUGCGUGUGCUGCUGCUGUGCCUCCAUGUGGCGCCGAUGGGCCUCGUCUCUGGCCGCCAGCGCGGCCGCCAGCUCUCGCCGAUGAGCCUCCUGCAGCUCGUCCUGCCUGGCCCGCAACUCCUCUAGCUGCGACUGCAAUAUUACACCCGCAAUGGUUAAACAAUGCAAAAGGAGAUGUAUAUAUGUAAAAAUAAUGGACGAUGGAUAAAGCUGUAGUUACCUGCAUCGUAGCUAUCUGCUGCACGGAGCUCGGCUGACGAGGCCGUAUGGGGACGUCGGAGGUCGAGCUGCUCCCCUGCCGAACCUCGCGGAGCGUGGGUACGGUGGCCGGGUUGAUUGCGCUGUGGGCAAUCAUGUACCGGCCGUGCUGCUUCCCUCCUCCCGUCCUCAUGAGCAAGUCCGUGUCCGAGACCCUUUGCCGUGGGCCGUCCAGUCUGGCUCUCGGCAAAGACCCUUUGCCGUGAGCCUAACGCGCAGGCUCUCGGCAAAGAACUGCUGACUUUUUUUAUUCUUUUUGAAUUUAGAGCUGAGUUUUUUUUUUUGUCCUUGUGACUCAAUUUCUAAAUACAUUUUAAAAUUUGGCAUUAAUUUGACUUUUUUUGCUAUAUUUAACUAAUUAAUCUUGUUUCUUUAUAUUUUUUCACAUAAUUCAAAUUUCAACUGUAGGUACAUGAAAUAUUACAACUCAAUGAUUCGAAAAAUGAUAGUCAAGAUAUUUGGUGUACGUUGAGGUCGUAACCACAACCACACAUGAAAUCUCAACCCUCUCGCUAACAUAACAUGUCAAGGAAUGUGAGGGAAAAUGGAUUUAUAAUUAUAUAAAUUUCAAAUAAACUCCAAAAAUCACGAAACUUGGCGACGUGUCGUGUUAUCGCAUGUGGAGGCUGUGGUAAAAAAUUCAUAAGGUUCCGAGCAAGUUGCGACACCGGAUGUCUAAAACCCAGACAUCUCCACAUGUUAUCGAAUGUGAUCACAUGCGGAGAUGUCUGGGUUUUAGACAUCUCGUGUCGCAACUUACUCGAAACCUUAUGAUUUUUUUACCACAGUCUCCACAUGCCAUAACAUGACACAUCGUCAAGUUUCGUGAUUUUUGGACUUCAUUUGGAAUUUAUAUAAUUAAAAAUCACUUGUACGACACAUGGAUGGUCAUGUUUUAUAUACAAGAAAUUCAAACUCUUGGGUGAGUUUAUGGAUACAACAUCAAAAUGCAGUCUUGAACAUGAGUAUAAUUUUUUGAAUGACUAUAUUUUAUUAUUUCAUGCUCCUACAGUUCAAAAUUACUUUUUCGAGAAAAAUACAAAUAAAAUAAUUUAAUUAAAAAAUAUAGCAAAAUGUUAUAAAAAGCUCUCAAAUUUGAACAUGUGCUUAUAUACAAUAUGUAAGGGUUACAGAAAAAGUUUGAGUACAAAACUAAAAAAAAUCUUUCUUCUUUGCCGAGAGCUUGACAAGGCACUUGGCAAAGGCCUCCUCUUUGCCGAGAGCCUAACGCCGUGGCUCUCGGCAAAGGUGACGACAACGGUUGCCGUUACCAGCGCUGCUCCUUUGCCGAGAGCCUAUCUUUGCCGAGAGCUAGGCUGUCGGCAAAGCUAGCCUUUGCCGAGGGCUUGCCUUUGCCGAGAGCUUGACCAUCGGUAAAGUUUCUUUGCCGAGGGUCGUUUCUGACUGUCGGCAAAGGCAGUCUUUGCCGAGGGCUAGCUCUCGGCAAAGCUGAGCCCUCGGCAAAGCUCUCGUUUCCUGUAGUGUGGGCUUUGAAUUGAUCGAUGGCAAAAAGCCGUAAUGGAAGCACGUCGCGUCUUGAAUGCAUGCACUAUAUAGGAAUAUAGCUACACAAAAGAAGAGAAAUAAUGACACACAUAGUAGUAGCUAGCUAGUAAAGUGUGUAUGUAAGGCCUUGUUUAGUUCCCAGAAAAUUUUGCAAAAUUUUUCACGGUCCCCGUCACAUCGAAUCUUUAAACGCAUACAUAAAGUAUUAAAUAUAGACGAAAAUAAAAACUAAUUGCACAGUUUGGUCGAAAUAGACGAAACGAAUCUUUUGAGCCUAGUUAGUCCAUGAUUGGAUAAUAUUUGUCAAAUACAAACGAAAGUGCUACAGUGUCGAUUUUGCAAAAUUUUUCGGAACUAAACAAGGCCUAAACCUAAAAGCCCAUGCAUUAUUGCUUUUUAAAAAGUUAAAGCGGUGAUGGAUGGUUUUGUUCAUGGCUCGAGGAGGAUGUGUCCUAGCUAGUUGUUGGUGGGGGAGGUGAGAGUACCUAGGAAAAUUUGCUUACAUUUUCCUGUACAUGCAUGCAUGCAACGCUAAUUGGAUGGAUAUGGUCGGAACAUGCAUGGGUCCACCAUUCACAUCUCUUGGUCCUACACGCACGCCUACUAUUGUGAUGCGUCUCAGCUUUUUAAUGUGCCUGCGUUGCAUGCAUGCAGCUGGGUACGUAAGGACACGCCGCAAGCUGCCCAAACUCUAGCUCUGCUUCCCGCAUUGCAUUGCAUUGUAUCUACCUCGUGGCGCAUUAGGGUUAGAGAGAGAGAGAGAGAGAGAGAGAGAGAGAGAGAGAGAGAGAGAGAGAGAGAGAGAGAGAAGUGUGGUAUAGCUAGCAUGCAUCCAUAUAUAUCCGAUCGACCUGUAGUUCAUGGCACAUUCAUUAGGUUUGGAAGAGUGAGAUCGAGGCAGGACGAUAUGUAGUACGUCGUCGUCCUUCGUAUAAACGGACAUUCGCUCAAUGUUGAAUUGUUGACAGACGACGAUGCGCGCGGCACUUUGUUUGACCAUGCAUGCAUUCAUCCGUGCAUGCAUGGAGCGUCUAUGUGCUUGUCCCUGAAUAAACUAAUUAAUCACUGCACGAACUCGAUCGCCUUGCUGUCAACUUAGCUUAGCUUAUUACAAGUGUGUUAACGACAAGCAAUCAUGGAAAUGAGCUGCAUAUAGACACUGUUCACAAUGCACGUUAUGUUGGAGCACUAGCUAUAGCUAAUUAAUGAGCCAGCAAUUAACAAAACGCCUGCUAAACCAAAAUAUGCAUUUAAGCCAUGUUUCGUUUCCUCCGGUAAAGUUUAACUCCUGUCAUAUCGAGUGUUUGGACACAUGCAUUAAAUAUUAAAUAUAAAUUAUUUACAAAACUAAAAUAAAACUAGAGAGUAAUUUGCGAAAUAAAUCUUUUAAAUCUAGUUAGUCUAUAAUUAGAUACUAAUUGUCAAAUAAAACAGAAAUAUGCUAUAUGCUACAGUACAUCCUUAACCGGCAAGUACAGGCCGGGUGAGGCAUGUCGGAUGCUAGAGAUGGCCAAAUGGGCUAAGCCCAAUAAUACGCAGCCUAAGCACAUAUGGGCCUACUAAAGCAUCGCAUUACAUUAUGGGUCGAGCCACUAUGUGUCUCGUGCCCUUUUUUACCAUUCAAAAUGGGUGCUCUCAGGAUGGAUCAUAAUUAUGCCCCUUUUUAAUUCGAGAGCAAUGUUGAUCAAAUUUCGUCGUAGUUGCAGCACAGCCAAAAAAAAAAACUAACAAAAAGAGCCUGUCAGACAACCCAUGGGCCAUCCCAGCCAGGCAAGCCUGGCCGGAAACGAUCAUCUACAGCACCGGACAAAGCGUCAGAGCCAAUCCUGGCCGUUAAUCACGCUCUGGCCCACAGGUCAUGGCUCAUCAACCAGGCUUAAGUGCUUGCCUCCUUAUUAAUCAAGGAUGCAGCGGUACGAUCCUAUAGAACAGAUCCUGUUCAAGUAAGGUCGUGCUACACCGCGCGAGGCGCAGCCUUAUAAGCUAGCUGAACGCAGUCUGCGCUUCCGAGGUGGUACUACUACUACUACGUUUCGCUAAGCUGUUCAGCUCGCCGCGCUAGCUAGCUAGGAUCUAGCUUGGGCCGUGGCCCAUGGGCCUUUCUCCUGUAAAAAAGGCCUAGGCCUUUGAGGAGGGCGGUCCAGUUGUUAGAGGGAGCUUGGGUGGCGUUCUUCAGAGCGGCUCGUGGCAAGUCCAGGCCAUUGUAAUCCAUGUCACUUGUUUCUUGAUUAAAAAAAAAGGCCUUUGUGUAGUGCAGUCCAUGUAUGGCUCAUCGCAUCUGGUCGAGUAAACAAACGGCUUUGUAUUGCAGUUGAUAUUCUGCGCCUUUUUUAGAUUCAUUCAUUCACAAGUAAACACAUAUCGAGCCACAUUAGAUUUAGCAUGUUUUUACCGUUGUCAUUUAUAUAGUGUUCUGACACGAUGGCAAACACAAAUGUGCCAGCAGCGAGGCAGUAAAGUUCGGAGACAGGUACUCUGCAACUUUAUGUUGUUGGGCUGCGUUUCGCUGUAACUUUGCAUAGGAAAAAGUUUACUUUUUCUCCUCUAAUUUUCAAGAUAAUCCACUUUUCCUCUCGUAGCUCUAAAACUGGACAAAUUAUCUUCCUUAAUUUUUUUAAACCGUGUAUUUUACUUCCCUGAAGUGAUUUUGAAGACAAUUUUGCUACAAUAAAGAUAUGAUGCUGAAAAUCCUAUCUCUACCGCAAGAAGCAAAGAUGAAAAUAGUUGGUCUUCUUUUUUCACGGUGGGAGGCAUGCAAUAAGGCAAAGGUUGGUGAACAGUUGUGGUCGACAACAGAGAUUGUUCACAGAGCCAUGUCAACAAGCCUUUUUUUGCUCUAUGCAGUGGUGAGAGAAAGGUGUAAAACCGGAGAUGGAGAAGGUACACUGGUGUCCGCCAAACUCAGAAUAUGUGAAAAUUAAAUUUGAUGGUUCUUUUAUCGAGGACAAAAAGAGUGGAGCCUGGGGAUUUACUAUGAGGAAUCAUGAAGGAUCUAUGAUCUUGGCAGGUGCAUGAAACUUAGAUAAUGUUUAUGAUGCUCUAUGUGCAGAAGCGCAUGCAUGCUUGAUAGCUAUCACCGUGGCAGUAGAUCAAGGAAUGAUGCAAAUUCAGUUUAAAUCGGAUUCUAUGGUUUUGGUAAAAGCUCAUAGAUCUCCUGAUUAUGAUCUUUCAGCUGGAGAUACUAUGUUUAGAGAAGCUAAAUUUCUUCUAGACACUCAUCAUUUCUUUUGAUAUAAGUUAUGUUCCACGUUCUUAUAAUGUCUGUGCACAUGAGUUAACUCGCUAUGUUUGUCAUUGGACCCGGAUCAAUCUUAUGUCUUGGUUGAUUCUCUCCCAGAGUUUGUAAUCUCUGUAGCGGUUCGUAACCUUCACGAUCCACCAGAGACAUAAUAAAGCUGCAAGUCUUUAUCUUAAAAAAAUGUAAAACGCUCUAAGCACUCUGGCGCAAGUCCACACUAAAACUCAAAAAUACAUGUAUUUUUCUGUAUUUAUUUCAUACAUAAAUUAACGACGCUGUUCUUUCUUUUAGUAGUUGUGGAAGACGUACCCAUCUACCAAUCUCAGAAUAUGGCGUAUAAAGGGGAGUGAAUGCAUAUUUUUAUGCACUUGUUUUAAGAAAAAAAAGUGAAAACAUGUUUUUUAAGUAUAGUAUACACCUCCAACAACUCAUUUGUCAGUAGAAUUUCAUAAUCCAACCUAAUCUCAGUUCAGAACUCUAAAAUCUACUGUUGGCAGCUUUAGAAUUUAGAAACCGCAAAUCCGCAAUCCCCACUUAAAUAAAGCAGAAUCAGAUUGCUUUCUGCAAAAAUUCCACACCCGCAUCCUCAAGCUUUUCACUGAAGUAUACAAAGGACAAAAUUUAGAAUCUUUUUCCUCAACGAGCGAGGCUGUCAAACAGUAGCCUAGAACGUGUUCAAAAAUCACAUUGCUCCGAGAACCUUGUGAAAGCAAAGCCUGAAGUAACAGUUCAUGCCCAAAGUCACACAAAUGCAGCACUGUCCUCUUCAUGGUGUAUGCAGUUCCUCAAACCCAAUGUCCUUUGAUGAUUGACGUAUAGGCCACCUGAAAUGCAAUGAGGAGAUUAGUAGUGUCACUACCAAUUUGCAUGGCGAAGGCAAAAACAACUCAUACAAAUUAGAUCAUACAAUGGAUUUUGGGCACAAAAUGUUAUUUUACAUCUUAAGUGGACUGAAAAUCGGGGGACAACUGUGAUACAUCAAACAUUGUAAACAACACAUUAGAAAAUACUCCCUUCUUUUACUCCCACUUGUAGGAUGAAUAGUGAAUGCUAGAAGUGCAUGCAAAGUGCAUAAAUAAUAUACACAGUCAUUUCCCUAAACUAUCAAUGCUAGCUUCCAAAAGAGUAAAAUCUAUUGAACACAAACCUAUCUUUAAUGCUGCCAAAGAAAUUUAAUAAUACUAUUAAUAAUAUAUACAUAUAUCUUCAACAAGCAUCAGAGAUCCUGGUCAUCUGGUGUUAGUGCUGCAAACCUUUUUCAAUUCAAAAAUAUUAUAAAAGAAAACAAAUUCUACAACACACAUGCACACACAGAAUUCCCUGUAUUUUAACCAACCCCAUCCCAGCACUGAGGCAUAAAUCAUCAUCCUCUGAUCUUGCUGUCCACAUUUAUACCCUCCUUCAUGUAUAUGGUCUAUAAAACAGCACGUCAUGUUUAAUUUAUAAUAUUGUUUGAGGGAAGAAACAUUUUAUCAUACCAAAAAUCAUCUAGCAUGUCUAUCAACCUUGAAUAGGACUCACAGAAUUGCCGAUCUAUGAGAGAGGCUUAGGUAUAACUUCAUUUUGCUUUGUACAAAGCAAAAGUAAAAUUCCAUGUAAACUAAUUUGGCAAGAAUAAAACAACAAUGCCACCAUAGCACCUGAGGAAUGAGCCAAAUUUCUCACUCCUGCUGCCCAAAAAUAUGCUCUUCAUCAUCUAAGCCCCAGUAAUGACGUGGAUAGCCCAUGAUGAAUUGAUUAUUAUGUUCAAAGGGGAAAAAACUACGUUUACCCUAUAUCAUGCAGCCGGUCUAUCAAGAAUGAACCUAGCUCGCAGAGCUGCCAUUACAUGACAAAACUCAGGAAAUAAUUUCAGUUUGGUUUGUACAAAGCCAAAGAAAAAUAUAGGUGCGAAAUUUUGGUCCAGGGGAAACCCACAGCAGCGCCUUCAUGUCACAUGGGCACCAAAGGCAACUGAAAAUCAAAUCACUGCACGUCUAAUGAUCAUGAAUCUCUAAUUUUGCAGAACUUCUAUUCAAAGGCACAUGACUAACUUCACUUCGGUUUUAUAUGAAGCUAAAUAAAACAAAUCUUGCUAACAAAUUUGGCUCCAAAAAAAUGACAGCAGCAUUUCAGUUUAGUAUUUAGAAACAAUUUCAAACACUGGCCAGUCAGAAAACUAAAAAUACAAGGAAAGCACAGUACAAAAUCCACCCAAAUACAGUAGAAAGAACACACAAACAUCUACUGUUAAGUGUUAAGAACCAAAGGAAACAACUCAAUACACUACCACCCUUUUUAGUCCACUAUAUGUAUCUACUUAUCUAGCUAGAUGGAAUUUCAGAACUAGAACACUGCCCUUCAUUAGAUACUAAUAAAGUAACGAUAAAGAUGCCCAUACAAAAAUGUGAAGAAGUUGCAAGAAUGAAUUAUGAGGAUGGCAAACCUUAGAAGAUAUUCUUUACAGAACUAGUUACCAGAACAAGUCUUAGCUCUUUCUCUUUCCCUCUGUCAGGCCACCAAGGAGCUCCCACUGGUGUUUUCCAGCACAGCUAGAAGCAUAAGCAGCAGCAAGACCUGGGACACUCAUCUCGUGCGGGUGCACAAGUUUAGCCAGGAGAUUAUCAUUGCCCAUCACUGCAAUAGUAUAGAAGCUGAAACUAGAAGUCACCAAUCCCUUGUCCUCGAGAAAUUUCAUCAAGUAAUAGCGCGGCAACAACCGACGCUCCACACUAUACAAUAGCAACACUGGCCGAUACACAAUGUCUGGCAUCUGCAACCCAACAUCACCCAUUAGAAAAUCCAAGCUUUUGCGAACCCUUUCCGGAGCUAAGUUCAGGAUAUUCGGCGCCUUCCUCACUGCUGACGCUAUAUCAUCCCUCGACCAGCCAAGCUUCUCAAACAGCUGUAUAUUACUCUCGAGCUUCUCACGGUUGAAGAUCGCAAACCUCAUGAACGCGAAGGGGAAAGCCCACGUGCCCUGCUGGAUUCCAAACUCGGCAACGCGUGCCAGAGUUUCCUGGAGGUGCUCAUUGCUCCUGACAAGUAUCCGGGACAAGAAAGUGCUGGGGAUAUCGGAAAUCUGCAUCCCGCAUCGCUGAAGAAGGGCCAGGUUGGGCUUGGCGACCUUGUCGAGGUUGGUGCUGAGGAGGCUGCCGUUCAUCUUGACGAACCGCAGGAGCUCGUCGAAGGAGCCGAAGACCCCAAGCCAGAAUUCAAAAUUGCGGAGGAGCGAGCGGCUGCGGAUCCGGGCCUGAGCGGCGAGUACUACCUGGCCGACCUGGUGGCUCGACAGGCCGAGGCUGCGGAGCUCGGCGACGCGGGGGGCCAAGGUCUUCCCCACGUCGACGCAGAGGAGUCUGGGAUCUUUGGCGACGACGGUGGCGAGGUCGGUGCCGGAGAUGUCGAGGCCGGCCAGGAAGGCGAGCACGGCGUCGGGCUUCGAGGGAGAGCUGAGUCCGGGGAUACUUUUGGAUGCCUUGAGGGCCUGCUCUCCGGAGAGGCCGCAUCUGGCGACGAGGUAGUCGGCGACCGUGAAGGGGCUGCUCGCGGCGGCGGCGGAACCGCAGAGGAGGCGAUGGAGGGGGGCGAUGCAGGAGGUUGAGCGGCGGGACGAGGAGAGUAGGUGUGGAAGAAUGCAAUUUCGGAGGCGGAGCAUAGCGUCGGGAGCGGCCGGCGGCCGGCGACCGACGGCGGGAGGGAUUGCGGUGAGUGAGACUGCGCCUUCAGCCUUGGGCCCUUGGCAUUUGGCAACUCCACAACCGAAGGCCGAAGCAUCCAAUUUGGGCCGUAGCCCCUCAUCCAGAUUUCAGCACUUUUCAUCACACUCCAGGCCGAUUCACACACAUUUUUCUAACCUAAUUCUCAUUUCAGCCUCCUAUAUUCCAUCCACUCAAAAAAAAAGCUGUAUUUUAUACAUAAUGUAUUACCAAGUUUAAUGGUAUUUUAAUUUAAACAGCAUUAUUUUAGAUUUGCAUUUUAAAUUGCUUAAGUUUUUAACUGAUAAAUAUUUAACAAAUUAUUUUCACAUCAAAUAAUUCGCAACUGUUAUAUUUUGAACAGGGAUCUUCCAAUGGCUAUAAAUCAAACAGCCAUCCUUCCCACGGCUAUAUUGCAAAUUUUGUCUAAUGUAUUACCAAGUUUAAUGGUAUUUUAAUUUAAACAGCAUUAUUUUAGAUUUGCAUUUUAAAUUGCUUAAGUUUUUAACUGGUAAAUAUUUAACAAAUUAUUUUCACAUCAAAUAAUUCGCAAUUGUUAUAUUUUGAACAGGGAUCUUCCAACGGCUAUAAAUCAAACAGCCAUCCUUCCCACGGCUAUAUUGCAAAUUUUGUCUCCAAGAUGCUAUAUGUUUCAUCUGCAUAUAUGCAGGGGCGAACUUACAAGCAAAUGAAUCCCGGUGCACUAUUUAAGUAACUCACACAACUUUAUUGAAACAUAUGGUGAGAAAUAAAUACCCUGGUGCCUGUGCACCAGGUUACUUCAACAUGGCUUCACCCCUGUAUAUAUGUGUGGUCUUCACUUGAUUCAUGCAUUACUUUUUUUCCACUGUGUUGUUCUUACUCCAUUAGAAAUAAGUUAUCUAACUUGAUUGGAUUCCUCUUCCUCGUAUGAUGAUAACAACGAUUUUAUGGAGUCUGAUCCUUAAUGUAUUACACUAAAAACACACUCAAUAUUAACCUCUUCAUGCUUCACAAAGGGUGAAUCUAUACCUAGGCGUUAUUACAUUCACUGGAACAGAGAAAGUGGUAAAUGGAGGGUUUUUCUGAAAAUCCAACCUACAUCCAUAUUUUCUUUUUUUUUUUUCUAUUUGUCCCUCAAGUUUAGCAUGACUCGUUCUCUAAUUCUACACAUAUGGUUCAUAAUCAUACAUACUCCCUCCGUCCACAAAUAAAUGCAUAUCUCAUAUCCCGAGGAGUCAAACCUUUUUAAGUUCGACCAAGUAUAUAAAAAAAUAUACUAAUAUUUAUCAUAUGUAACAUGUAUCAUUAGAUUGACCAUGAAAUAUACUUUUAUAAUAUACUUAUUUGUAGAUACAAAUAAUAAUACUACUCCCUCUAUCCCAAAUUGUAAGUCAUUCCAAGAAUCUUGGAGAGUCAAAGCAUUUUCACAUUUGACUAAAAUUAUAGAGAAAAAUACUAAGAUUUGUAACGUAAAGUAAGUAUACUAUGAAAAUAUAAUUAAGAAAGAAUCUAAUGAUACUUAGUUAGUACUAUAAUAAUAAUUAUUUUAUAAUAUAAAUUUGGUCAAACUUAAAAAAGUUUGACUCUCCAAGAUUCUUGGAAUGACUUACAAUUUGGGAUGGAGGGAGUAUUUGAUAUAUUUCUAGUCGAUUUUAAAAAAGUUUGACUCCUCGAAAAGCGAGAUGUGCAUUUAUUUAUGGACGGAGAGAGUAUGAGUUUCUUGGAUUCAUAUGUCUGUAUCACAAAUAGACAAUUCACACCCAACAUUUUGAGUUUCACUAGAUUUUGUUGUUACGUUUGGGUCCUCAGUGUUUUGUUUUUGGUUUAGACUCAAGCAGGGCGGAUCUAAAGGGGGGCUGGGGGGCUCUAGCCCCCCCCCCCCCCGGCCCGCCAACAAUAGUUAGUGCAUCAAUGGAAAUAUGGGGAGGGUGAGGAAGAAGAAGGGGUGGAGGAAAGAAGAAAAAUGGAGAGAAGAAGAGAUCAACCCCUUUAAUCUUAUUUUGCAUCCGCCACUGGACUCAAGAAUAUAAUAUUCAUAAUCAUGUACUAUGAUGAAUGCAUGCUUAAAAUAUAAUCACUUAAAAAAGUGAUUGUCCAUUAUAGUUAAGGACUUUAAGGUAUAUGGCGCAUGUGUCACCUCUGCCAUGACAAUGAGCUUGUUCACUUAGCUAAAAAGUCAUAGUUGAAAGUAUUAUUCGCUGAUUUGUUAUGAGAGAAAAAUACUAUUGAAUGAGUAGUAGAUUCAGCAAAGAUAAGCUCGAAGACAGCAGAGGAUUUACACCAUUUAUGGUCAUUCCACGUAACACAUGCCAUCGUCAUGCGCUAUUGCGCUGGGAUAUUUUUCGCAACAACAUUCCUCGUCCAAGCACUGCAUACACACGCAUCAAACUAGGCAACCCAUCGUGGAUUCAUGUUACUACUCCAGAAAGAAUCAAUGGUCGAUCGAUAGAGCGAUGGAGUAAUUAACGAUGAUUGAUCGAAAAUUGAAUAUGGUACAGGCCAUCGAUAUAGAUUGAUUCAUCCACACUGAUGUUACAUGCGAUCUGUGCUUAGUUUACAUCGAUCUCGUGCAACUACUACACGCCUACGAUUGAAAACAACAAGUAGAGUACAAGAGACCUCGCUCGACAUGCACGCAUGGAUGCUCUGCUCAGCUUCAGCUCGCUCGCUCGAUCAGCUUUAGUUGCCGGGGACGAAGUUGGUGGCGUAAGCCCAGGCGUUGUUGGCGACGGGGUCAGCGACAUGGUCGAAGAGGUUCUCGAUGGGUCCCUUGCCGGUGACGAUGGCCUGGACGAAGAACCCAAACAUGGAGAACAUGGCGAGGCGGCCGUUCUUGAGCUCCUUCACCUUGAGCUCCGCGGCGGUGUCGGGGUCAUCGGCGAGCCCGAGCGGGUCGAACGCGCCGCCGGGGUAGACCUUGUCGAGCCCUUCCCCGAGCGGGCCGCCGCCGACGCGGUAGCCCUCGACGAAGCCCAUGAGCACGACCUGGCACGCCCAGAUGGCCAGGAUGCUCUGCGCGUGCACCAGGUUCGGGUUGCCCAGGUAGUCCAGCCCGCCCUCCGAGAAGAUCUGCGCGCCGGCCUUGAACCACACCGCCUCGCCGAACUUGACGCCGUUCUUGGCCAGGAUCUCCGGGAACACGCACCCCAGCGCGCCCAGCAUCGCCCACCGCGAGUGGAUCACCUCCAGCUCGCGGUUCCGCGCGAACGUCUCCGGGUCCGCCGACAGCCCCGCCGUGUCCCACCCGUAGUCGCCGGGGAACUCGCCGGUCAGGUACGACGGC